GCAGUCGAACGAUGAUCCGGUGCUUGCACCGGGGAUUAGUGGCGAACGGGUGAGUAACACGUGAGUAACCUGCCCUUGACUCUGGGAUAAGCCUGGGAAACUGGGUCUAAUACCGGAUAUGACUCCUCAUCGCAUGGUGGGGGGUGGAAAGCUUUUGUGGUUUUGGAUGGACUCGCGGCCUAUCAGCUUGUUGGUGAGGUAAUGGCUCACCAAGGCGACGACGGGUAGCCGGCCUGAGAGGGUGACCGGCCACACUGGGACUGAGACACGGCCCAGACUCCUACGGGAGGCAGCAGUGGGGAAUAUUGCACAAUGGGCGCAAGCCUGAUGCAGCGACGCCGCGUGAGGGAUGACGGCCUUCGGGUUGUAAACCUCUUUCAGUAGGGAAGAAGCGAAAGUGACGGUACCUGCAGAAGAAGCGCCGGCUAACUACGUGCCAGCAGCCGCGGUAAUACGUAGGGCGCAAGCGUUAUCCGGAAUUAUUGGGCGUAAAGAGCUCGUAGGCGGUUUGUCGCGUCUGCCGUGAAAGUCCGGGGCUCAACUCCGGAUCUGCGGUGGGUACGGGCAGGCUAGAGUGAUGUAGGGGAGACUGGAAUUCCUGGUGUAGCGGUGAAAUGCGCAGAUAUCAGGAGGAACACCGAUGGCGAAGGCAGGUCUCUGGGCAUUAACUGACGCUGAGGAGCGAAAGCAUGGGGAGCGAACAGGAUUAGAUACCCUGGUAGUCCAUGCCGUAAACGUUGGGCACUAGGUG
This 751-nucleotide ribosomal RNA is filed under the name Arthrobacter sp. ht1-15. Its description in RNAcentral is "bacterial SSU rRNA". It matches the Rfam family "Bacterial small subunit ribosomal RNA", at positions 57 to 822 of the family's 1533-position model. Lineage: Bacteria; Bacillati; Actinomycetota; Actinomycetes; Micrococcales; Micrococcaceae. The record is from RNAcentral.